UACGUAGGUGGCGAGCGUUGUCCGGAUUUAUUGGGUUUAAAGGGUGCGUAGGCGGCCAUGUAAGUCAGUGCUGAAAUAUCCCGGCUUAACCGGGAGGGUGGCAUUGAUACUGCGUGGCUAGAGUACAGAUGAGGUAGGCGGAAUUGACGGUGUAGCGGUGAAAUGCUUAGAUAUCGUCAAGAACACCUAUAGCGAAGGCAGCUUACUAGGCUGUAACUGACGCUGAGGCACGAAAGUGUGGGGAUCAAACAGGAUUAGAAACCCCUGUAGUCC
This 273-nucleotide ribosomal RNA is filed under the name uncultured bacterium. RNAcentral describes it as "partial 16S ribosomal RNA". It matches the Rfam family "Bacterial small subunit ribosomal RNA", at positions 524 to 796 of the family's 1533-position model. The record is from RNAcentral.